GGCUCUGCUGUGCGUGCUAGAGCUGGCAUCAUGCAGGGGGCUGGAAGAAUGAAAUGUCAAACCAGGUAUGACGGCACAUGCCUGUUAUCCCCAGUACUCUGGAGGUGGAAGGAGGAGGAUCCCUGAGCUAUACAGCAAGCUCCUGUUCUUGGGCCCGCCUGACCACUUCUUCCUGUAGUUCAUCCAAUUCACUUCUAGAGGUGACCUCCCCAUCUGAGAUAGAAGCAAAGAAGAUCAAUUACCACCCCUCCAGAGUCAAGGAGAAUUGUCUGUUAACCUGAUGGUCACUAUGCCAUUUUCCCUUUGGAGCUCGUGCUUUCCGGUUUAGUUUCAGAUCCCUUUUCUUUAUUAUUUAUUAGACUCAGAGAGAGAGCAACACAGCCCACGAAUAAUGAUGAUGUUUACAACAUGUAUAUUUUCAAUACUUCAUGAAUGGUAACAGUAUAACUCCUAAUAUGUUUUAAGCAUUUUCAAUAUACUAAGAACAAUUUUAAAAACA
Molecule: long non-coding RNA, 499 nt
Filed under: Mus caroli (Ryukyu mouse)
Lineage: Eukaryota; Metazoa; Chordata; Mammalia; Rodentia; Muridae
Description: lncRNA (MGP_CAROLIEiJ_G0002855.1)
Source: RNAcentral